GGAGUAUCGACCCUCUCUGUGCCGAAGCUAACGCUUUAAGUACCCCGCCUGGGGAGUACGGUCGCAAGACUAAAACUCAAAGGAAUUGACGGGGGCCCGCACAAGCAGCGGAGCGUGUGGUUUAAUUCGAUGCUACACGAAGAACCUCACCAGGGCUUGACAUGUUAGAAGUAGUGAACUGAAAGGGAAACG
This 192-nucleotide ribosomal RNA is filed under the name uncultured bacterium. RNAcentral describes it as "partial 16S rRNA". It matches the Rfam family "Bacterial small subunit ribosomal RNA", at positions 826 to 1014 of the family's 1533-position model. The record is from RNAcentral.